This 460-nucleotide ribosomal RNA is filed under the name uncultured bacterium. Its description in RNAcentral is "partial 16S ribosomal RNA". It matches the Rfam family "Bacterial small subunit ribosomal RNA", at positions 338 to 795 of the family's 1533-position model. The record is from RNAcentral.
CCUACGGGAGGCAGCAGUGAGGAAUAUUGGUCAAUGGGCUUACGCCUGAACCAGCCAAGUCGCGUGAGGGAAGACUGCCCUAUGGGUUGUAAACCUCUUUUGUCAGGGAGCAAUUGGCGCUACGUGUAGCGUUAUCGAGAGUACCUGAAGAAAAAGCAUCGGCUAACUCCGUGCCAGCAGCCGCGGUAAUACGGAGGAUGCGAGCGUUAUCCGGAUUUAUUGGGUUUAAAGGGUGCGUAGGCGGAAUGCCAAGUCAGCGGUAAAAUCGCGGGGCUCAACCUCGCUCCACCGUGGAAACUGGCGUGCUUGAGUGGGCGAGAGGUAUGCGGAAUGCGUGGUGUAGCGGUGAAAUGCAUAGAUAUCACGAAGAACACCGAUUGCGAAGGCAGCAUACCGGCGCCCAACUGACGCUGAAGCACGAAAGCGUGGGUAUCGAACAGGAUUAGAUACCCCAGUAGUC